This 497-nucleotide ribosomal RNA is filed under the name uncultured bacterium. RNAcentral's name for it is "partial 16S ribosomal RNA". It matches the Rfam family "Bacterial small subunit ribosomal RNA", at positions 28 to 507 of the family's 1533-position model. The record is from RNAcentral.
GAUGAACGCUGGCGGCGUGCCUAAUACAUGCAAGUCGAGCGAACGGACGAGAAGCUUGCUUCUCUGAUGUUAGCGGCGGACGGGUGAGUAACACGUGGAUAACCUACCUAUAAGACUGGGAUAACUUCGGGAAACCGGAGCUAAUACCGGAUGAUAUUUUGAACCGCAUGGUUCAAAAGUGAAAGACGGUCUUGCUGUCACUUAUAGAUGGAUCCGCGCUGCAUUAGCUAGUUGGUAAGGUAACGGCUUACCAAGGCAACGAUGCAUAGCCGACCUGAGAGGGUGAUCGGCCACACUGGAACUGAGACACGGUCCAUACUCCUACGGGAGGCAGCAGUAGGGAAUCUUCCGCAAUGGGCGAAAGCCUGACGGAGCAACGCCGCGUGAGUGAUGAAGGUCUUCGGAUCGUAAAACUCUGUUAUUAGGGAAGAACAUAUGUGUAAGUAACUGUGCACAUCUUGACGGUACCUAAUCAGAAAGCCACGGCUAACUACGUG